RNAcentral lists this ribosomal RNA (433 nucleotides) under uncultured bacterium. RNAcentral's name for it is "partial 16S ribosomal RNA". It matches the Rfam family "Bacterial small subunit ribosomal RNA", at positions 38 to 507 of the family's 1533-position model. The record is from RNAcentral.
GGGGGGGGGUGGGGGGGGGGGGGGCGGGUGCGAGGGGGGCGGGGGCGUGGGGGCUGGUGGCGCGCGGGGGCGGAGCGCGGGGGAACCGGGCCGGAGGGUCGGGAUAACGCCCCGAAAGGGGGGGUAAUAGCGGAUCAUGUCGUCGGACCACAGCUUUCGCGCCUGUGGAUGUGCCGGCGGUGGAUUAUCUAGUUGGUAGGGUAAAAGCCUACCAAGGCGACGAUCCAUAUACGGCCUGAGAGGAUGAUCAGCCACACUGGGACUGAGACACGGCCCAGACUCCUACGGGAGGCAGCAGUGGGGAAUAUUGGACAAUGGGCGAAAGCCUGAUCCAGCAAUGCCGCGUGAGUGAUGAAGGCCUUAGGGUUGUAAAGCUCUUUUACCCGGGAUGAUAAUGACAGUACCGGGAGAAUAAGCUCCGGCUAACUCCGUG